GCAGCCGCGGUAAUACGAAGGGGGCUAGCGUUGCUCGGAAUUACUGGGCGUAAAGGGAGCGUAGGUGGCCUUGUAAGUCAGUGGUGAAAUCUCUGGGCUUAACCCAGAAAUUGCCAUUGAUACUGCAGGGCUUGAGUAUAGAUGCCGUUGGCGGAAUAUGACAUGUAGUGGUGAAAUACAUAGAGAUGUCAUAGAACACCGAUUGCGAAGGCAGCUGACGAAACUAUAACUGACACUGAGGCUCGAAAGUGUGGGGAUCAAA
Molecule: ribosomal RNA, 262 nt
Filed under: uncultured bacterium
Lineage: Bacteria
Description: partial 16S ribosomal RNA
Rfam family: Bacterial small subunit ribosomal RNA
Source: RNAcentral